GAUGAACGCUGGCGGCGUGCCUAACACAUGCAAGUCGAACGGAGUUAUGAUGUGAGCGGGAAGUGCUUGCACUAAACAAUCUUUUCAUAACUUAGUGGCGGACGGGUGAGUAACGCGUGGGCAACCUGCCCUGUACUGGGGGACAACAGUUGGAAACGACUGCUAAUACCGCAUAAGCGCACGGGAUCGCAUGAUCCUGUGUGAAAAACUCCGGUGGUACAGGAUGGACCCGCGUCUGAUUAGCUGGUUGGUGAGGUAACGGCCCACCAAGGCAACGAUCAGUAGCCGGCCUGAGAGGGUGAACGGCCACAUUGGGGACUGAGACACGGGCCCAAAACUCCUACGGGAGGCAGCAGUNAGGAAUAUUGGUCAAUGGACGAGAGUCUGACCAGCCAAGUAGCGUGCAGGAUGA
This 412-nucleotide ribosomal RNA is filed under the name uncultured bacterium. RNAcentral's name for it is "bacterial SSU rRNA". It matches the Rfam family "Bacterial small subunit ribosomal RNA", at positions 28 to 411 of the family's 1533-position model. The record is from RNAcentral.